RNAcentral lists this ribosomal RNA (1409 nucleotides) under Chlorocebus sabaeus (green monkey). RNAcentral describes it as "Bacterial large subunit ribosomal RNA". It matches the Rfam family "Bacterial large subunit ribosomal RNA", at positions 458 to 2669 of the family's 2925-position model. Lineage: Eukaryota; Metazoa; Chordata; Mammalia; Primates; Cercopithecidae. The record is from Rfam by way of RNAcentral.
GUAUAGGCGAUAGAAAUUUUAUCCUGGCGCUAUAGACACAGUACCGUAAGAGAAAGAUGAAAAAGAUUAACCAAGCACAAAAUAGCAAGCACUCACCCCUAUACCUUCUGCAUAAUGAAUCAACUAGAAACGGUUUCGCAAAGAGAACUAAAGCCAAAUUCCCCGAAACCAGACGAAAACUAAAACCAAAUUCCCCCAAAACAGCUAAAAGAGCACACCCGUCUAUGUAGCAAAAUAGUGGGAAGAUUUAUGGGUAGAGGUGACAAGCCUACCAAGCCUGGUGAUAGCUGGUUAUCCAAGAUAGAAUCUUAGUUCAACCUUAAGUUUACCUACAGAAUCACUUAAUUCCCCCAUAUGCUUAAUUGUUAGUCUAAAGAGGGACAGCUCUUUAGACACUAGGAAAAAACCUUAUAUAGAGAGUAAAAAAACCCAGUUCCCAUAGUUGGCCCAAAAGCAGCCAUCAAUUAAGAAAGUGUUCAAGCUCAACAUAAUUAUCUUUAAAAAAUCUCAAACAUUCUACUGAACUCCUCACAUCACACUGGAUUAAUCUAUUAUUUCAUAGAAGUGAUAAUGCUAAUAUAAGUAACAUGAAUAUUUUCUCCACUGCGUAAGCCUACAUCAGACUGAAAAACUUCACCGAUACUUAACAGCCUAAUAUCAAUAAAUACAAACAAAGUCAAUAUUAUUCAUACUGUUAACCCAACACAGGUACGCUUUUAAGGAAAGGUUAUAAAAAGUAAAAGGAACUCGGCAAACUUAACCCCGCCUGUUUACCAAAAACAUCACCUCUAGCAUUACCAGUAUUAGAGGCACCGCCUGCCCAGUGACACAUGUUUAACGGUCGCGGUACCCUGACCCUGCAAAUGUAGCAUAAUCACUUGUUCCUUAAAUAGGGACUCGCAUGAAUGGCACCACGAGGGUUCAACUGUCUCUUACUUUCAACCAGUGAAAUUGACCUGCCCGUGAAGAGGCGAGCAUAAAAUAAUAAGACGAGAAGACCCUAUGAAGCUUUAAUUUACUAAUGCAAACAAAAUCAUAUAAAUCGGCGGACUUUAAAUUACUACACCUGCAUUAAAAAUUUUGGUUGGGGUGACCUCGGAGCAUAACUAAACCUCCGAACAACCUAUGCUAAGGCUACACAAGCCAAAGCGAGUCAACAACCAUAAUUGAUCCAAUAACUUGACCAACGGAACAAGUUACCCUAGGGAUAACAGCGCAAUCCUAUUCUAGAGUCCAUAUCGACAACAGGGUUUAUGACCUCGAUGUUGGAUCAGGACAGCCUAAUGAUGCAGCAGUUAUCAAGGGUUCGUUUGUUCAACAAUUACAGUCCUACGUGAUCUGAGUUCAGACCGGAGCAAUCCAGGUCGGUUUCUAAUGUGCCUCAUCCAGUAAGUUGAAGGCCUGAAUCG